UACGUAGGGUGCAAGCGUUGUCCGGAAUUAUUGGGCGUAAAGAGCUCGUAGGCGGUUCGUCGCGUCGGCUGUGAAAACCCGGAGCUCAACUCCGGGCCUGCAGUCGAUACGGGCGGACUUGAGUGUUGCAGGGGAGACUGGAAUUCCUGGUGUAGCGGUGAAAUGCGCAGAUAUCAGGAGGGACACCGGUGGCGAAGGCGGGUCUCUGGGCAACUACUGACGCUGAGGAGCGAAAGCGUGGGGAGCGAACAGG
Molecule: ribosomal RNA, 253 nt
Filed under: uncultured bacterium
Lineage: Bacteria
Description: partial 16S ribosomal RNA
Rfam family: Bacterial small subunit ribosomal RNA
Source: RNAcentral